GUAGGUGGCAAGCGUUGUCCGGAUNUACUGGGUGUAAAGGGCGUGUAGGCGGGUAGACAAGUCAGAUGUGAAAUACCGGGGCUCAACUCCGGGGCUGCAUNUGAAACUGUAUAUCUUGAGUGUCGGAGAGGAAAGCGGAAUUCCUAGUGUAGCGGUGAAAUGCGUAGAUAUUAGGAGGAACACCAGUGGCGAAGGCGGCUUUCUGGACGAUAACUGACGCUGAGGCGCGAAAGCGUGGGGAGCAAACAGGAUUAGAUACCCUGGUAGUCCACGCCGUAAACGAUGGAUACUAGGUGUAGGAGGUAUCGACCCCUUCUGUGCCGCAGUUAACACAAUAAGUAUCCCACCUGGGGAGU
This 356-nucleotide ribosomal RNA is filed under the name uncultured bacterium. Its description in RNAcentral is "bacterial SSU rRNA". It matches the Rfam family "Bacterial small subunit ribosomal RNA", at positions 527 to 881 of the family's 1533-position model. The record is from RNAcentral.